AUUUUCUUGCAGGGAGAGUGUAAAUAAUCUGGAAGAAAUACUGCAGUCUAUCACAGAUCCCAAAGAUAGUUUCAUCAUUUGUAUUUUUACAAAUACUUACUGGAUACUAUUCCUUUCUGUGAGGCAAGAACAACCAGCUGUCAUUCUCUAAAAAUUUUCAGAUAUUAAGCACAUAUUCACCUCUGAACUUUAAUGUUUUUUCUACAUCAGCAUUAUUCAGAAUCUCAUCCAGGAACUAUUUGCUAACAAUCUGCAAUGAGAUAAGAAGAUUAUGCCAGGAAGUAAAUCAACACACUGCUUCCUUCACCACGAAAGCCUUGCUACAAAAAAUCAAAUGGCAGCAGUACUGAACAGUGCACUUACUGAUGUAGUUGGUUAACAUUUUGGCUUAAGCUCCUUAUCUUGUCAUGGACAGGUACCGAAUACUCUGGACUGACAGAGGUCGACAAACUAUGCUCUGAGUGGCACUGUUCUGCAGCAAAGUGGUUUUACCCAUAAGACCAUUCAAUUAUAGAAUUUUAGAACUGAAAGAUGUCUUAGACACCAUCUAGUCCAAGUUCCUGGUUUCACAGCCGAGGAUCCUUAGAACCUGAAAGUUUUAGCAAACUUCCCAAAGCCACUUAGUGGUUGUGAUGCAAUAUGAAGUAAAGGCCAACUGUCCUGACUCUUUCCAAUCACCACCAUGCCCUGAAAUUCCUGAAGGAAGCAGAAUUUCCUCUGAGGUUUCUGCUGAGUCAUAUGCAGGCUCCAUCUGAUGUAGAGAUUCAGUAGAAGGGGCCAGGUUGCCUCCUGAUGGGGGCAGCGUGUGGAGGAUGAGCCUGGGCUUACUUGGCAGACAGAUCUGGUCAUGUUCCAGCUCUAUCUCCUACUUGCAGAAUGUCUUCGGGAAAAUUACCUACAUUCUCAAAGCCUCAGAUUCUUGCUUUGUCAACAUUCCUUGAAGAUUGCUAAACUGAAGACUCUGGUGUUCCCUUUUGUGAUAGGGAGAAUAAUAGCCCCCCAAAGAUAUCUACAUCCUAAUCCUUGGAACCUGUGACUAUGUUAUGUCACAUGGCAAUGGGAGACUUGAGGUUCCAGACUGAAUUAAGGUUGAUAAUCAGCUGACCUUGAGAUGGUGAGACUAUCUGGGAUCAUCUGGGUGGGUCCAAUGUCAUCACAAUGUUCCUUAUAAGAGAGAGGCAGGAGAGAAAGAAUCAGAAAGGCGGCAGCAUGAGGAAGGCUCAGCCUGACAUUGCUGGCUUAGAAGAUGGAGGAGUGAGGCCAUGAGCGAAGGAAUGCAGGAAGCCUCUAGAAGCUGGAACACACCCCUGCUGACACCUGGACUUGUACCUAGUGAAACCCAUUUCAGACUUCAGACCUCCAAAACUGUGCAGUAAUAAAGCUGUUUUGUUUUAAGCCACAAAAAAAAAAAAAAAAAA
Molecule: long non-coding RNA, 1418 nt
Filed under: Homo sapiens (human)
Lineage: Eukaryota; Metazoa; Chordata; Mammalia; Primates; Hominidae
Description: long independently transcribed non-coding RNA 563 (LINC00563)
Source: RNAcentral